GAUUUGGAAAGACAGAGAGCUCUCUGGACACGGGUUCGAUGGAGCUUGCACCUCUCUGAGAGCUGAAGUCAAGUCUCACCCUCUCUCCAUACUCCCUGGCCUAGUGUGCUCUGGGCAGCAGGUAGGAAGGGACAGGGACCUCUCAUCUCAAGGGCUGCCCCAAAGGGCCCUCAGGGACCAUGGGCCUGUUAGGACCCCAGCACCCCAGUGUCGAUCCUGGAAGUCAAAGGUCACGACUGUGGGGGGCCAGCUCAUGUCACUGAUGGCAGCAGGCAGGGUUUCCAGCAUGGGCGGUGCGCUGCUGUCUGAUACUUCAUUAUUGUGUUGUCAUCCUAGCUGUAUAAUUAACUAUAUCCAAAAGCCGGAAGGGAAACCUGUAGCUCUGCAUAUGGAGAAAUAAAACAGAGCAUAUGAUGUAUAGAGAAAAUGAACUGCACCCAGCUGUGCACUAGAGCGCCAUGUUCUUACCCAGCAUUCCUUGCCACGGUGUGAACCACAGCAGGGAAGCUCGCAUGGUUCUACACGUCACCGAGGCCUGGAUGAAAAUGUGGCCUCACGAUGUGUAUGGUUGGGACCCGCCUUCUAUUUCAUUUUAUCUUAACACCAACGAAAGAAAACCGAUUUCAGACGUUUUUCGCUGAUUUAUGAUUUAUUAUAUCCCUUUCUGGCAUCAGCCAAAAUCUCGGUUUUUCCUAUGACAUGAAGUGAUGUGACUCUUACCCCGUUGUCUUAACUCUUGGUAUUUUUGAAGCAGGAUAAGUCACACAGCGGGUCACGUAGACACGUGCUGUUUUGUGGGACAGGCCCUGGGCCUCCUUGCUCCUGGCAGGCCUCAGGUGCCGCACGCCGCGUCACCGUCAGGACUCGCAGGCUGUCUGGUCAUUUUUGACGUUGCUGAAGGUGAGUGGGAAAAGCUGGGUGCACUCUGCCCCAAAGGUGGUGCCCUGUGUCCCCCACAGAUGAUGGCCCUCCCCAGUGAUGGCCGGUCACCAGGCACGGCUUUCCCCUCUGCAUGAACAGAACAGAAGCUUCUGGCUCUCCAAGGCAGCAGCUUGGGGCCUGGUGGCCCGGGUGUGCGAGCCGCGAGUGCUUUCCAACAGAGGGCACCAGAGCCGUGCGGUGUGCUGUGGAGACCCCAGCACCACUUCCCCUGCUGGAGGAUGGAUUUGAAGGAGGGUGGCUGGGCGGCACCCCGAUGGCUCCCUGUGCUCCCUGAGACCCUACAGGCCGCCCUCUGCAGCCACACCUGGACCGGCAGGCAUGCACGCUGCAGGCAGGCUGCCUCCGCUGUUUGGGUCCCAUGAACGAUGGAAGCCUCCCAGUGAGAUCUUCAGGUCUCUCAUCAGGCACAGGCUCUGAGGGAGGGUCCUGGGGCCACAUGACUGCAGCCAGCGAGGGCCGAGCCCCCAGAAUCCAGGUCAGCUCCUGGUGGCAGGGGACCUGCCCGUCAAAGCCGUCCAAGGUGAGCCAGCAAAUCCGUGUGGCCUGGGAGCACAGGUGGGCCUGCUCGGACCAUGCCCUUGGUGCAGUACAAAACCAUGUUCUGCUUCCUCUCCGAGGGUUUCCGCGGCCCUGUCAGAACAGGCUUGAUAGAUGCCCGGAGGUUCCCUCUGACAGCCGCAGCAGCAGGGCUCAAACCGGCGGGGCCGUGUACCGCUCCAAGGACAAGCUCUGCCGAGGCCGACAUGAAAAGCCAGCACGCGGGUCGCCUAGAGCCGCUCUGCCUCCAAGCUGCAGCGCCGUUCGUGAAAAUACAGAGGGAGAGGGAAGGCACAAAGAAAUACAAAACUAUUUUCCAAAUAAAAAGAAAUGUCGAAACAAGAAAGCUGUGUUCUUCAGCCUUGGCCCUGGGUCCCCCUCACCCUGUCGCAUUUCCCAGCACUGUGAUGCUUUGAAGGCCGACACCGAGACCCGCCGUGCACGACAGCCACCUCGCAGCCACUCAGACCGGCGGACCACGCUCCCCUGUUUCCAGAGAGAUGAGAGAGUCAGAAGUAAUACUUGUUUUUGCAGAACCACACUUGUGGCAAAAUAAGUUGCCUUUGGCCACGCAGGAGACUGAGUUUUGUGAGGGGUUGUCCUUCUCCCAGUCUCUCUUCCCGCUGGGAACAGAAGUGUCCAGUAAACCCACCUGCAUUCCACGUGUCCUGUGGCCGCCUCCAGUGGUGAGUCUGUGAGGCCAGAGAAGAGAAGCUAUGACCGUGCAAACAUGCAUGUUAUGGUGUUGGCUGAUGCGGAAUCAGGAAGCUUGGAGGAGCUCUUGCAUGAGGAAUUGCAGAACUUAGGGGCAUGAAUUUGCACUUCCAGAUGUGAAGGUUGCAGGCACCGGGCGUUGCAGAGGAAGUGGGCAAGCUCACCUUGUAGAGAACUUACUUGGGGUUUGUAAUUUGUAUACACUUCUUACCCAGCAGAAACAGCUUACUGAACACCCCUCGGGUGGCUGGAUGAUGUGCUAGCAACUGAAACCAUCUCUGCGACUUAAGCUUCUCUGGUGCGUCGCGCCCCACGUGCUUCUCCAGAAUCCCGUUUGGAGGGGCCAAGCAAGUCCAAUAUAGAUAGGUUUAUACUGAAGCCAUCAGUUUUGUUUCUUACAUCGUUUGUAAACAGCAGUAUUAUCCUGGAACUUGUUUCCUACAGAACUGUAAGAUAAGGAUAAAAUCCCAUCCACCUGAAUUGCUGAGAAACGUAAGAGGUGGUGUGACCCGCUGGAGCCCUGUGGAGUGGCGGACUCUGGGGAGUAGCUGGUCAGUGAGAUUCUCGCAGCAAUGUGAGGCAUCCUCCUCACAGAAAUGCAUUUACGGAUGUUGCUGUAUCCCCUGACCUGGCCUACAAGGACAGAACAGCCCUGGGGGCCACGUCCCCUCCCGGUCUCAUCUGCCGCUUGCUCACCUUGGCUGUCCAUGCACCCGUAGCUGUGACCAUGGGCGGUGGCGCCAGCUCGGACUUCACCCCGUUGGAGCGGGCAGGAUGUCACACUGAGCUAAUGUGAGAUUGUUCAUGAAGCUACAGAUCUUAGUGCUACUUGGGCUUCUCACAGCACAGAGGAGGAUUCUGAAGUGAGAGAUAAAUUGGCUUCAUGUAUGAGCAAGGGGGAAAGUGUUUUAUUUUACUAGGAAGAUUUUACUGAAAGACCAAUCCCGAAACGGCCCUUGCUUCGGCCACAGCUGCUGGGAUGUCCUCGGGCCUCCCCUGUUUGUCUGCAUGUCUUCUUGUUGCCAUCGGGGCAGUGGAGUCCCCGGAAACAGUCCAAGGCCCUGGGGUGGGGGAUUUAAAUUUUUGGCUUCCCUCAGACCUCAGACCGUGUGGGUUUUUUUUUCUUUCUUUCUUUCCUGUUCAUGGGCAUUUGAUUAAAAGUUUGUGUUUAAAGAGCUGAACUUCACAUCAGUUUUACUUAUCAGUUUGAAAGACAUUGAGAUCUAAACACGGCUCUGCCCAAGACCUCUGCCAAGCAGCGCCGUCUGUCUGUCUGUCUGUCUGAAGGGACGGGAAGGUGGAGAAACUGCAGGUACUGACCUGUCUCUAAGCCACUGAGGGCAGCCAUCCAGUGUCCUCGGGACCCCAUGGCUCCAGCUGCUGACAGAUGUGAAACGUCUGGCCUCCAUCACCCGGGUCGCCCCGACAAGGAUCUGUAAUGGGGGCAGGGGUGGGGGUGGAUGAGAAAGUAGGAAGUGGAUGCUGGGCAGCGAGGUGUGAACUGACGGCAGAGCCCAGCCCGACAGCACCUUUGAUUGAUGAAAGGACAUUGUUAACAAGCCUUUAAAGUUUCUCAUUAAUGUUUUUUUCGUUGGAAAAAAAAGCCACCAGAAAAAAAUUCCACAUGGACAGUAAUUAAGAUCGAUCCCGUACAGUAUGGUAUCAAUGUUUGGGAGCCUUUAGGAAAAAAUUAUCCACCCUCCUAUUAAAGACUUAUUUUCAAGCUGCCAUUUUCCAGGCUGUUGAAAGUCCCUGGCAGUGUGGGUACCUGGGCAGUCAGGCACGUUCCGCAGAUGUGAUGUGGUCGGCCUCACAGGUAAUGUUUCUACUGUGGCCUGAGGAUGGAGAGUGGAGCCCCUGAGCUUUAGUUGUCACGGACUCUGAUGCAGUCAGGCAAGGAAGGGUGGGGAAGGAUCUGAUGGAUCUGCUGCCAUGGAGAAGCUGGAGUUCUUCUCAGCUCCGAGUGAGCCCCAAGGAGUGCGUCUGAGCAGAGUGCACGUGGUGCCCAUGGUUCUCACCAGAGAUGCUCAAGCCCUUGGGCGAGGGGGCUGAGCCAGCCCCGACAUUGUACACACAGCACCACACACGGGCAUACCCAACGGUUCUUUACAGGUCUUCGAGUUACACGUCACUGCUGUUUGGAUCCCAAACACCAGCGGAACGCAUGAUUCCAGGUUGAUUUGUUGACUCACAUUAAGGAAACCCAGCUGGAGAAAGUAUCAGGGUCCUAACGUUAAGCAACCUGCGAUAUUAUGCAAAAAGGAUUGCUUUUGUGUGUUGUGAUUGCCAUGGCUACGAGAAGAAAUGGAUGCACGUGUGAGACUUGGCUGGUGACAAGGAAGCAUGUAUGGACAUGGAAUCAGGUCCUGAGCAAGCAGGCGGUCCUCCAAGGCGGUGGAAUUGGCCCUGGAUCCCUGCCCAAAGGCCGCUCCGCUCUGGGCCUUGGUGGGAAAGCUCUGCCCUCUAGGCUGGCCUCUGAGAGGGCUUUGGUGUGACCUUCCUGUCACUGCCCACUUUCUAACCAGACAAGGAGGGUGUCUGUACCUGGCGCUAACCCAGGGUUUGGGGGACCGUCCUGCAGUCCCCGUCGGACAGAGAAGGCUUCGUUUCUCAGGAGCUCCAGGCUUUGAUUCACUCCCACGAUGUGUUUCUUUUUGGGGUAAAACAGUCCCCACGGGGAGUUAAAUUUUAGGAAGCCAUGAGAUCCUUCCAGAUGAAAGGCAUCAUGUAAGUGUAUGAUACUGUUACUGAGCAAAAGCCCCAGUGCUCCCAGGUGUGGCAACGAGACACCUGCACUCACCGGGCACCACCCAGCCGGGGCGGGCGCUCCCCGGGACUGGCAGGUUCUCUAGGUGUGGCAGUGAGACAUCACUCACCGGGCACCACCCAGCCGGAGUGGGUGCUCUCCGGGACUGGCAGGUUCUCCAGGUGCCUCCUUCCUCUUGCAGCUUUGCUCACUUUGUCAAUUUUCAGGAAGGGGAAUUUUAAAUGUCCCCCCAGUCCUGAAGAGAUUGAGCAGCAUUUUCAGGAGGAGGCCUCACCAUCAUCAUUGCCACACUGGCCAUAAACCAGAGACUCUGCUGGAGAAACCCUCUGCAGACCUUGGAGGCCUCACACAUCCCAGUUACGGGCAGCGCAGCUGUCCCCUCCGGAGAAGAUUCCUCUGCAAUGGGAAAGCAUUUGUGAAAUGAGGCAGGGUUUACAUAAUUGGUGUGAGCCUGAGCACACCCGGCACACCUGUGUCCUCUGCGUACACCUGCCUGGGUGCCGACACUGCUUGCAGGUGGUUUUGGGGAAAGUGCAGGCCUGGCUUCCAUAUGGCACAUAGUGGCUUUUCUAAGACUGUUCACAUGUCUGCCAAUGAGGAAUGGCCCUGGCCCCUAUUUCCUGUAGAUUCCCAACACCACUGGAGGGCCCGUGAGGAUCCUUCUGUCCCUGCAAGGUGUGGCCUACUGGGGUGUCCCUCCAAGGUGUGGCCUGCUGGGGUGUCCCUCCAAGGUGUGGCCUGCUGGGGUGUCCCUCCAAGGUGUGGCCUGCUGGGGUGUCCCUCCAAGGCGUGGCCUGCUGGGGUGUCCCUGCAAGGCGUGGCCUGCUGGGGUGUCCCUCCAAGGCGUGGCCUGCUGGGGUGUCCCUCCAAGGCGUGGCCUGCUGGGGUGUCCCUCCAAGGUGUGGCCUGCUGGGGUGUCCCUCCAAGGUGUGGCCUGCUGGGGUGUCCCUCCAAGGUGUGGCCUGCUGGGGCGGGUCCUGCCAAGUCUUCAUCUCCAUCACCACUCAGCAGGGUGUAGCCUGAUGUGGGAGGCGCCCAGGAGGCGAAGCAGAGACAUCCUGCCUUUCUUUGAAAGCCACCCCAGUGACCAAGAGGUAACUUGAAAUCAUGGGCACAAACACCCAUAAAUCAUCAUCACAGCUAAGCCGGCCCCCAGCCCCCUCCCAAGGGGUCUUCUGCUGGCACCACCACCACCACCACCCAGAAGGAGAGGUGGGUUGCCGAGUGGUCUGCUUUGGCCUGGCUUCACCAGGGAUGGAAGAUACUUGCAAGGUCCAGAGCCGUGGCUGACCCUGGAACUGGCAGGGAGGGGAGCUGUUUUGCAGUUGUCAAACCCAGUAUCUGCCAUGUGACGCUCCCUGCCCCACACUUUGCAAUUCAAACCUCAUCUGGGCAGGCAUCCCUGAAAUGCACCUUUCCCAGAGUCUUGCUGUUUCCAGAACUUAGGUAUUCUCACUCAGGGAGCCGUCUUCUAAGCCACCAUUCUGGAGGGCUUUCUUGGGAAAAAGCCUUUCGUGGACUCUGCAUGGUGGCCCUGGGGACUGGCACUCACCUCCCCUGAGCCCCUCGCUGGAGACGGCGGAGUAUCCCGACCAAGGGCUCCUCCCACCUGACCAGACGGGCCAUCCACCAGCGCACCCAAGGCUGGACUCCAGCCUUCAGGGAGCCUCAGGUCCAGGGGACACAGUGGGCCCAGCACCCCGGCCACAUGUGAUGGAGCCUCCAGGCCUGCCCAGCACCUACUGCCCUGGGACAGGCUCUCUUUCAAGUCAGCUCCUCUGUCCAGGAAGCAUCUGAGAGGCCCUGUGGUCCUGGCCAAGGAGGCAGGCCGUAAGGAGGGCAGGCCCGAGGACGUAGGUGUGGCAACACUCCGUGUGGAGUAGUCUCUGAGGCCAGACCUGCGGUUCCUGUUUCCUGUGCCCUGGGGACCCAGAGAAAGAAGACGGAUGGGCGCUGCAGUGGGGCGGAGCAGGCCUGAGCCCAGCUCGAGGAAAGCUUGCCUUCUCGUCUAGUGUCCCCGUGUUUUACAUAAUUAGAAAUGUGUGUGUGAAAAAAUUUUAAGCAAUUGAAAGGAGCCGGGGUGUGGUGGGAAGAAUUAUUAAAUAAUAAAAAAAAAAUCAAUCCUCAGUUUGGCCUGGCCAGACGAGUGUUUCUCGGCUCAGUAUUUGUUAAAGGGCGUGGCAAACACUAGUGCCGCACGUGUCACCAAUGGUCACCAGCUCCAGAAGGCAAGUAAGAUGUGAGCAAAUUCCAUGAACACCAGAUGGCUUCAAGGGGCUUCCAGGUAAUUUGAAGGAAAAAAAGUUUAAGGACAGAAGAUGAUGCUGAAAAAAUAAAAUCAGCUCUAAACCACCCCAGCAUGCUGGGAGAGCCUGAUGUGCUCCACGAGGAGCCCCCAAAAGCCGAGGGGAACACAGGACACUUCCCCGAAGGCACAGGGGCCUGGUCCUGCCCCUGGGCCACUCCAGGUGCAUGCAUGGGAGGCGAUGGCUGGGCAGCUGUACAUCCACCUUUAGAGACACUAUCGGGUUUCCAAAGCGGCUGCACCAUUUUACACACCCACCAGCCAGGCUGCAGCUCCCACCUACCAGGUUCAAGUGAUUCUCCUGCCUCAGCCUUCCAAGUAGCUGGGAUUACAGGCACAUGCCACCACACCCAGCUAAUUCUUGUAUUUUUAGUAGAGACGGGGUUUCACCAUAUUGGCCAGGCUGGUCUUGAACUCCUGACCUCAGGUGAUCUGCCUGCCUCGGCCUCCCAAAGUGCCAGGUGAACUGGACAUCUCUUCUGCUGGUUCCAUCUGGGUUCACCCAUGGGUGGGCCCCACUCUGCAAGAGGGUCCAUAGGGCUGGACCGUCCAGGUUACUGCUGGCAAUGGUCCUGCUGGUGGCUCUGUCCCUGCUUCAUUCAGGUUGCUCUUCUCCAGCCUCCCAUGGUCCCCUCCUCACGGCUCUCCCAGUGCUUCCUCAGCACCUUUCCAGCUUCCACCUGAUGCCUGCUUUGAAAACCAGGUCAAAGUUUCAGGUCUUGGAAGAAACCAUCACACCGAGGUCAUUUCUGAGCACAGCGUGGAAGCUCCUAUGUUUGCAGAUUGAUUCCUUGGAGUGGAAUUAGUAAAAAGGAUAUGAAUAUUUUUAGUCUCUUGAUAUGUUAGACUGAUUUCCAGAAGGCUUGUACCAAUUUACUCUUCUACCGACAACUGUAAGAAUACCCUUCCUCCAUCAACAGCAUUGUGUAUUAGCUUUUAAGAAAAAUCUUUUCUAAUUUAAUAGGUUAAAAAAAUUCAUCUCAUUAUUUUAAUUUGAUAUGUAUUUUUAAAUGAGGUUGAAUAUAAUUUCCCAAGCUUAUUGAUCACUUUUAUUGUUCCCUUGUGAAUGGACUGUAAAUUUGCCUCUUUUUUCUUUAGGGUGUUCAUUGAGUGUUAUUGAUUUGCAAAAGCUCAUUGUAUAUUAAGAAUAUAAACCCUUUGUUGAGAUUGU
This is a long non-coding RNA of Homo sapiens (human), 8436 nucleotides long. RefSeq lists it as uncharacterized. The record is from RefSeq and is marked validated. The transcript is spliced from 11 exons. Lineage: Eukaryota; Metazoa; Chordata; Mammalia; Primates; Hominidae.